AAUCUUUUUUUUAACCCCCUGAGGCCCUAUAUUGCAGGUGCCGGAUUCGUCCGGCUAUGGCGAUAAAUGGUCACCGUAAUAAGCUCAUCGGACCCGGGGGCAGUACCCGGCGCCUCCACCACAUGCCGCCGUCCACGGCGGUAUCUGAUGGGGGCGAAAUAGGAUCGACGAGGGUGUAAAGGGUGCGCUUUUGCCCGGCAUGAUACCACCGUUAUCGGGUCAAUCAGAAUAGUUGCCAAUGACAACUAUGCUGAGGCUGCUCUCGCUGCGUAAUGCAGUUGGAUUAGCCUGAACUUGAAGCCCUGGCGUCUAGCAACGUCAGGCGCGGUUCGGAGGGCACCGGGCAACAGAAGCCCUCCACU
This 362-nucleotide transfer-messenger RNA is filed under the name Sphingomonadales bacterium. It matches the Rfam family "Alphaproteobacteria transfer-messenger RNA". From Rfam's summary of the family: Bacterial tmRNA, also known as 10Sa RNA or SsrA, is named for its dual tRNA and mRNA-like properties. Its role is to liberate the mRNA from a stalled ribosome. To accomplish this part of the tmRNA is used as a reading frame that ends in a translation stop signal. The record is from RNAcentral. Lineage: Bacteria; Pseudomonadati; Pseudomonadota; Alphaproteobacteria; Sphingomonadales.